UACGUAGGAGGCAAGCGUUAUCCGGAAUUACUGGGCGUAAAGCGCCCGCAGGCGGUUUGUUGGGUCUACCAUGACAGUUCCCGGCUCAACUGGGAAAGGAUGGUGGAAACCGACAAACUUGAGAGCGAGAGAGGGAUGUGGAAUUCCAGGAGGAGCAGUGAAAUGCGUAGAGAUCUGGAGGAACACCGAAGGCGAAGGCAGCAUCCUGGUUCGUAUCUGACGCUCAGGGGCGAAGGCCAGGGGAG
Molecule: ribosomal RNA, 245 nt
Filed under: uncultured bacterium
Lineage: Bacteria
Description: partial 16S ribosomal RNA
Rfam family: Bacterial small subunit ribosomal RNA
Source: RNAcentral